AACGUAGGUGGCAAGCGUUAUCCGGAAUUACUGGGCGUAAAGGGUGUGCAGGCGGGGGGACAAGUGGGGUGUGAAAUCUCCCAGCUUAACUGGGAUAGGUUAUGCCAGACUGUUCUUCUAGAGGACGAGAGAGGGAUGCGGAAUUCCAGGUGUAGCGGUGAAAUGCGUAGAUAUCGGAAGGAACACCAGUGGCGAAGGCGACUCUUUGGCCUGUAACUGACGCUGAGGCGCGAAAGCGUGGGGAGCAAACAGG
RNAcentral lists this ribosomal RNA (253 nucleotides) under uncultured bacterium. Its description in RNAcentral is "partial 16S ribosomal RNA". It matches the Rfam family "Bacterial small subunit ribosomal RNA", at positions 524 to 776 of the family's 1533-position model. The record is from RNAcentral.